This is a long non-coding RNA of Homo sapiens (human), 1159 nucleotides long. Ensembl annotates it as long intergenic non-protein coding RNA 1478. Lineage: Eukaryota; Metazoa; Chordata; Mammalia; Primates; Hominidae. The record is from Ensembl.
AUCACCAAACUGUUUUGAAAGAUAAAAGUACUUCCUGAAUAUGUGGAUGGUGAGCCACGUGAAUGGAAGACAUGGAGAUAUGGACUGUUAACACCUUGUCAAACAUUUAUUGUCCCUUCCACCUCUAAACUUCUGUGAUAAUAGGUGAACAGGACCCACGUGGUGCAGAAUACUGCGAUACACACUGCGGAAUAAUUCAGGGACUGGGAGUUGGAGAGGGGAGACUGGAGAGAGUAGGAAGAAGAAAGAGACAUUAUACAAAUGCAAGCUGUUGUCACAACAAUGAUAAGAAAUCAGGAGUCGAAAGAUGUGGAGUAAGGGGGAAUUUCAGAGAAACCACAAAACACAAAAUAGGAAACAGAGACAGGAGAAGAUUGCUAUGACAAAAUUGCAGAAGGUGAAAUCUUUGGCAGCCUCUUAUUUCUCUGGAGAAUAUGAUAUUGUCAGGCUGAGGUGGAAGAAUCACAUGGUCAUACUGUUGAAGAGGUCUUGAAACAUUGGGCUUUCCUCUACAAGCGGAAGGAUAGCACUGGCAGCCAUCCACUGGCCCAGCAAUAUCCUGGAUUGAGACGAUAUCAUUUGCAUUACUUGCUGAAUGAAACAUAGUGAAAAUGACUGCAGAUAACCUCAACUAAGUCCAAGAUAUCAUUUUCAAAUCUGGACCAGCCCUUGCCAUCUAGACUGAACAGAGAUUCCAGUUUCCAGGAGAGUAGAUGGAGUAAUGAUAAAAGCACCUCCCAAAACUUUUGCCUUGGUACUACAGAGUGGCACAUAACUAAACAUUAUCAAGGAAUUUUACAGCCCUAGGCCUUCUAUUACUGUGUAUUACAGUCUGCUGUAAUCAUUCUAAUGGUCUAAGAUGUUGCAAGUAAUUUACUCACGGCCUGAACACCAGAAGUGCCAAAAUUGCCUGGGAGUUUUAUUCUGCAUCCAACCAGUACCAGGAAGGAGGAUGUAUUACUUCUCGUUUCUCUACAAGUGUCAGUGCAAAUCCAGCCAUCAAACAAAACUUAGACCUAAAAGCUUUUAGAUUACAGCGAUUAUUGCAGAUUUUACAUGAGAUAAAAAUAUCGAACAUUGAAUAGACCUGAUGAGUGUGAGAAUCCUUGACUUGUGUCCUACCUUAACAAAAAAGCAUUCCGUGUUUCACCAUUAAGAA